RNAcentral lists this ribosomal RNA (580 nucleotides) under uncultured Flavisolibacter sp. RNAcentral's name for it is "bacterial SSU rRNA". It matches the Rfam family "Bacterial small subunit ribosomal RNA", at positions 337 to 917 of the family's 1533-position model. Lineage: Bacteria; Pseudomonadati; Bacteroidota; Chitinophagia; Chitinophagales; Chitinophagaceae. The record is from RNAcentral.
UCCUACGGGAGGCAGCAGUGAGGAAUAUUGGUCAAUGGGCGCAAGCCUGAACCAGCCAUCCCGCGUGCAGGAUGACGGCCCUAUGGGUUGUAAACUGCUUUUGUACACCAAGAAAACUCGUGACGUGUCACGAUCUGACGGUAGUGUAUGAAUAAGCAUCGGCUAACUCCGUGCCAGCAGCCGCGGUAAUACGGAGGAUGCAAGCGUUAUCCGGAUUCACUGGGUUUAAAGGGUGCGUAGGAGGACUGGUAAGUCAGUGGUGAAAUCUCCGGGCUUAACUCGGAAACUGCCGUUGAUACUAUCAGUCUUGAAUACCGUGGAGGUGAGCGGAAUAUGUCAUGUAGCGGUGAAAUGCUUAGAUAUGACAUAGAACACCAAUUGCGAGGGCAGCUCACUACACAAAUAUUGACGCUGAGGCACGAAAGCGUGGGGAUCAAACAGGAUUAGAUACCCUGGUAGUCCACGCCCUAAACGAUGAUUACUCGACAUACGUGAUACACAAUGUGUGUCUGAGCGAAAGCAUUAAGUAAUCCACCUGGGAAGUACGAUCGCAAGAUUGAAACUCAAAGGAAUUGACGGA